Molecule: long non-coding RNA, 1071 nt
Organism: Coturnix japonica (Japanese quail)
Lineage: Eukaryota; Metazoa; Chordata; Aves; Galliformes; Phasianidae
Source: RefSeq, a predicted model, not a curated record
UGUGACCCUACCUCUGUAGCGCAGUCAGAAUGAAACAAGAUGAGUAGAACAAGGAGACCCAGCCCUUGAAGUCCAUGACCUAAAAUACAGAAGAAAUGCAUGGGGAGUAGCAGAAAGCCUGAUCCAGUUGCCAUGAAGUCAAGGCAGAUUUCCCACCGACUCAGAGAAAUUCUCAUCAGCAUGGAAGUCCAGAUGAGAUUCUUCCCAAGUAUGUUGAUGACACACCUUGAGUCCAGAAGACCAGUGUGUCUCUAAGCAGAGCAAACCAGGAAGGUACAGCAUCAAUCUGGGAAACCAGUGGAAUGAAGCAGCCAUGCAAGCAGGAUUUUCAGAAGAGCAAGAUCUUCCUCAAGAAACAAUGACAUCUAUUUGCAAAACAGAAAACUGUGGCACAGAGAGAAGCAGCCCUGCAUGGAAAUGUCUGGAGAUCUGACCCUGACCUCCAAAGUUCCAGCCAGGCGCUCUCACACUGAACCAUGCUGUACUGCAGUGGAAGGAAACCUAUGUCUUGCCAUGAUUGCUUUGCACGCCUACACCAAAAAUUGAUGUUCCUGAGUUUUCAAGCAUGGCUGCAUGCUGCAGAACUCCAUCAAUUAUUGUUUCCAGUGAGUGGGAAUAAAAAACAGUUCUUGCUACAUGAGUGACCACAACGCAUAUCUUGUCAGCAGCUGCGUAUUGCAGCAUCAGAAGCAUUAGCAUGAAUCCCCACAGCUAUCCUGUACAUCUUGAUUAAAGUCAAUGGGAGUUUCAGAUCUGUUAUUAAAUGCUCAAUUACGCUGUGCAAGCAACAACAGAAACAAAUUGAUAAGAAUAUGGUAGAAGACAAUAGUCUGAGCAAAGGACGCCACUAAAAUGUGUUCAUGAAGAGAGCCUGGAGUGACUGAAUAAUGAACAAAUUUGCAAAAAAUCGAAAUCUGUUUGCAGGUGAAUAACAAACAGAGGAAAGGGCAGAAUUGGUUCAAUGAAUUAUGCAUUAUGAAUCUUUUAACAAGCGCUGAUAUCUAUAAAGAUAAUGAUUCUAAUGUAAAUAACAAGCCUUUAAUAUUUAUGCAGCAUUAAUAGUCUGGAGAG